UAAGACAUUUAUAAUUAGGUAGUAAAGAUAACUCUGAAACCUAAAGAACUUGGCGGUGUUUUAAAUAAUUGGAGGAACCUGUUAUUUAAUUGAAAAUCCACAACAAAUCUUACCUUAUUUUUGUUUGUAUAUCGUUGUUAAGACAAUAUUUUUUAGUAUAGUCAGUAAUAAUAUAUUUUUAAAAAUCAAAUCAAGGUGCAGCAUAAUAGGGUUAUAAUGGGUUACAUUACAUGUAAUGUAAACGGAAAUAAACUGAAAACCUACAUGAAGGUGGAUUCAAAAGUAAUUGAAAAGUAAAAAGUUUUAAUGAAUUAGUUUUAAAACAUGC
Molecule: ribosomal RNA, 328 nt
Filed under: Opistophthalmus capensis (giant burrowing scorpion)
Lineage: Eukaryota; Metazoa; Arthropoda; Arachnida; Scorpiones; Scorpionidae
Description: partial 12S ribosomal RNA
Source: RNAcentral